Molecule: ribosomal RNA, 492 nt
Filed under: uncultured bacterium
Lineage: Bacteria
Description: partial 16S ribosomal RNA
Rfam family: Bacterial small subunit ribosomal RNA
Source: RNAcentral
AGUGAACGCUAGCGGUAGGCCUAACACAUGCAAGUCGAACGGCAGCACAGUAAGAGCUUGCUCUUACGGGUGGCGAGUGGCGGACGGGUGAGGAAUACAUCGGAAUCUACUUUUUCGUGGGGGAUAACGUAGGGAAACUUACGCUAAUACCGCAUACGACCUACGGGUGAAAGCAGGGGAUCUUCGGACCUUGCGCGAUUGAAUGAGCCGAUGUCGGAUUAGCUAGUUGGCGGGGUAAAGGCCCACCAAGGCGACGAUCCGUAGCUGGUCUGAGAGGAUGAUCAGCCACACUGGAACUGAGACACGGUCCAGACUCCUACGGGAGGCAGCAGUGGGGAAUAUUGGACAAUGGGCGCAAGCCUGAUCCAGCCAUACCGCGUGGGUGAAGAAGGCCUUCGGGUUGUAAAGCCCUUUUGUUGGGAAAGAAAAGCAGCAGGUUAAUACCCCGCUGUUCUGACGGUACCCAAAGAAUAAGCGCCGGCUAACUUCGUG